UGGAAAUGGAAGGUAACCUUGGCACUUUUAUAAGUGUCAUUGAAAUGGAGUUCAGACAUUGGCACUUACAUUAAGCGUCAUUGAAUUUACUAGUAUAUAUUUCUUUCUUUUUCCUCAUCCUAACACAUUACACUCUCAUCCCAACCCUUGGAGCCCUAAGCCAGGACAAUCACCCACAUCUUCAACCACCACCAGCACUAAUCGAUGAGAAAAUGUUACGAACAUGUUGAAGUGUCUGGGUUGCACGCAGACCACCAGGCUAUGCUUUUAUCGACUUUGAUGACCGAUUGCAAGGUUUUGUCAUAUGUUGACAAGGUUUGUGGGUUUGUAAAAUAUAGUCUAGAUUAUGUGUUAAGAACAAGAAACCAAUUAUACCAAUUUUAUUAUUUAUUUCUCAAGUUAGUCUACCAAUGUAGGUUUAGAGUACGUCACUUAACAAAAGCUAUCCAAAUUCGUGAGCAUACCAUAUUUAUGUGGAGUUUGUUGUAGAUUUAUAAUAAGUUAAAAGAAACUAUUGUCUUUUCAAUGCCUUCUUCAACCUUGCGCACUCUACCUUAUACAAAGAAAAGAAAGAGGAUAGGUCAUUUCUAAUUUUUGUUUUUUAAGUGGACCUUCAUUUAAAGUAUUUGAGGUCUCUUUCAAUAUUAAAUGUAUAUAUUAUUUUAUUACUAAAAGUUACUCUAGAUGGUUGAGUGACUACACAACUAAUCCUAAUUUAAAAAUAUAAAAGUUUUGAGUCUUUUUUAUGUGGGUUCAUAAAUGUGUUCUCCUUCCCUCUUUAUUACGUUUCUAUUUUUUUUCUUUUUUCUUUUAUAAAAAAACAAGAGAUCCAACUUUCAAUGUUUUUUAAUAAUAUAUCUUCAUUAUUAUUGAAUGGAAUGAGAUGUAGUGAUUAGACAAAGUGGUCUUCUAUUGUUGAUACAGGAAAACAAGUUAUCAUUUUAUAUGACAAUUAGGAGUAGAAGGUAAUGAUUGUGACAACUAGGAGUAGAGGGCAAGAUGCACAUAAGACAUUGUUUUUAAAGGCAAGUAUCUCCUCUAUUUAUAAAGGUAAUCCACCACUACACUAGAAACUUCUCUCUUAAAGAUAGAAUAGCUUGAAAGGAUGACUAAAUAGAAGAUAAAAUUUUAUUUCUAUUACUUUACAAAUUAAUUAUUUACUUUUAUAAUUGCAUAGGAGUUAUAUGUUAUCCUAAACAAGACAAUGAUACAUUUCAUGGUUUUAUUGAAAUAAAAUAUAAAAAGAAGUUUAUUUUCCUAUCCUUGGAUUCUUAUCAUACACUUACCUAAUGAUUUAUAUUUUCAAAAACUUUGAACAAGCACCUCUUAUCAACUCAAUAAAAUUAAAAGUCAAAGGAACUAAAAUAAAAGUAAAAACUAAUCAAGUAAAUAAAAAAUAAAAAUAUAAGAAAUUAAUAUUAACAUAGUGAUAGUAAGAUGGUUUCCAUCUUAUUUGGACCUUGGUAUUAUUUUUAACUGUGCAUAGUAGGUCUUAUGUUAUUCUUUUAUUUGAUAAUGUUUUAAGAGUUCUUUAUUAAAAGUCCAUAAGGAGCUUCCCCAACUCCUAUGCUUUAUUAAUUAGCUUUGAGGUUUGCAUUUGUUAAUAUUGAAAGAAACUAUGUGUUUCUUUCUUAUGAAGUAGGCAACUAUUAUCAUUGUAAUUCUUAAAAUUGAUGCUUUUGACGUUACUUGUUGGGAACAUGCAAGUAAGUCUGCUAGUUGAAUAUUCAUGUUGAUCCACUAAGGGCAUAUUUGAGUGCAUUUUUUUCUUCUAUUAUUUUUCUUUCAUGAACUUUAUAUUAAUAAAUCAACAUCGGAAUAAACAAGAGUUCAAGUUCAUUGCAUUGCUUUUUAAAUAUAUAACUUAAUUAAUUCAUCUUUCAUUUGCUUCAAUUUUUUAUUGACUGCCAUUUUUAUUUUUAUUAAUAAGUUUGAACUCGAUAAUGAAUCAAUUUUCAAAUCUCAUGUAUGAUUGUUUGAACAUUCAUCAGCCAGUAUAUGAUUAUGUAAAUUUUGUUGAAUUUUAAAUUUCAUCAUCCAGUUAGAUUUGGUUAAAACUCUUCAUAAUAUACAUUAGUUUUUCUUGUAAAUUAUUUUGAAUUCUUUUUCUUAUAAUUUUCUCAUUUUCUUGUAGUGGCUAUUUUGUGAAAAAUUAAAUUUGUCAAUGUUUAUUUAUUUAUUUAUUUUUAAUUAACCUCUUUUGAUUUAUGUUACUCUAAUGUUAUUGAUAACCU
This is a long non-coding RNA of Vitis vinifera (wine grape), 2234 nucleotides long. RefSeq lists it as uncharacterized. The record is from RefSeq and is a predicted model, not a curated record. The transcript is spliced from 3 exons. NCBI's taxonomy places the organism in Eukaryota, Viridiplantae, Streptophyta, Magnoliopsida, Vitales, Vitaceae.